This 354-nucleotide ribosomal RNA is filed under the name Eukaryota sp. Its description in RNAcentral is "SSU rRNA". It matches the Rfam family "Eukaryotic small subunit ribosomal RNA", at positions 1325 to 1700 of the family's 1831-position model. The record is from RNAcentral.
ACGUUAACGAACGAGACCUUAACCUGCUAAAUAGUUACACGAUUCUCGAAUUGUGGACAACUUCUUAGAGGGACUAUCGGUGUUUAACCGAUGGAAGUUUGAGGCAAUAACAGGUCUGUGAUGCCCUUAGAUGUUCUGGGCCGCACGCGCGCUACACUGACGAAGGCAACGAGUUUAUAACCUGCCUCGAGAGAGAUGGGUAAUCUUCUGAAACUUCGUCGUGAUGGGGAUAGAUCUUUGUAAUUAUCGAUCUUCAACGAGGAAUUCCUAGUAAGCGCGACUCAUCAGGUCGCGUUGAUUACGUCCCUGCCCUUUGUACACACCGCCCGUCGCUAAUACCGAUUGAAUGGAUGC